CCAGAGCCUGUUUCACUUCCCCAUGGUUAACAUUCUUAUUUCUGCCUUAGCCGGGCCUUUGCUCGUCCUUACUAUAGCCCUAAUUCUUGACCCCUGUCUAGUUAAUCGGCUCUUUGACUUUGUUAGAUCCUGUAUUAAUUUAGUUAAGUUACUGUUGGUUAGAGGUCCCCGUUAUCAGACCCUGGUGUCUGCCUUCUUUGCACCCUAUAAUGAGGCAGCCCCCACCACGUCAAGGGUGUGACAUGGUACACAAAAGAAGUGGGGAAUGUAAUGCAGAACAUUAUUUUACCAUUUAGGUAGUAGAACCCUUUAGGCCAUGGAAAACUCCAAAUUCCUUAGCAAGACCCUUAUCUGGCUGCUCAGGCCACAGCCCUCAGAUCAUAUCUCUGGAAGCCUCCAUUGUGAGAAAGUUUGCACAGCAUUAUCAUAUCUACACAGAGGGAGAAGGGUGUCCUUGACCAGCUCCCAAAAAAACCUCUUCCUCUUGCCAGACUUCAAAGAUCCAUCCCCCUCCCUGUCCUGUAUACUCCCUAUAUAAACCCUAGCUCAACCCUUGAUGGCUGCUGCUUGAUUUGGAUGUGAAUAUCCCUGGCAGCUGCGUGCUAAUAAAGUCCACAAUUUAAAAUUAGCUAAUUUCUGGGUAUAACACUUCAACCUCCUGCUGAGGCAUAAAUGUUGAUAAAGCCAAAGCCUCAGAUAAGGAGAUAAUCUCUAGCCUGUGGGCAGAGCACUUGUUGCCUCAGUGCUUUCUACCCUCCCACUCCCCACCCCUUGAGAACAGCUGAUCUCCCUCCUCACUCAUCCCUGGAGAUGAGCGACUGGCUAAGAGUAUUUAGGUGUCACACAUGGAAAAGAGAGACAGACAGUUUCAACUUCUUGUCCAUCUCUUCUUCCCUUUGAGAAAACCCAGUCCAGGGAUUCCUCAGAGACUGAAUGAUCUGCUUCCCACUGAUAAAGAAGGCCCUCUUUGGGCUUUUCUUCUUGAUACUAACUGUUUCCUCAGGUCUUUCCAGAAAGGAAAGUCAAAUAGACCUGGCCUGAUGUAUCUAUUCUUCGAUUUAAGCACUUUGGUCGGUGCUGACUCCUUGGGAUUUUAAAGCCUGUGCACUGCCAUGACUUCUAAGGCUUGGUAUAUCCUAUACCAGUCAUGUUCUCCUCACUUGGUACCAGGAAAUUGAUAGUUAUUAAUUCUUUUUUGUCUGAAUAUUGUAAGAAAAAGCAGUGUACUUUGUGCUUAUUUUCACAAAUAAAUAACAUUAAAUAUCUG
RNAcentral lists this long non-coding RNA (1267 nucleotides) under Phascolarctos cinereus (koala). Its description in RNAcentral is "lncRNA (ENSPCIG00000004509.2)". Lineage: Eukaryota; Metazoa; Chordata; Mammalia; Diprotodontia; Phascolarctidae. The record is from RNAcentral.